AGAGCAAAGUGCAAAAAGGUAAGAGAGAAUGCACAGUGUGUUUCAUAGAAUGUGUGUCAGUCUGUAUGUUUGUGUAUGUCAGUCUGCACAUGGGUCUGUGUGUGUAGGUAUGGGGCUGUGUGUCUGUGUAUAUGUAUGGGUCUGUGUGUAUCUAUGGGUGUGUGUGUGUGUGACUUUAUGGGUCUGUGUGUGGAUUUAUGGCUCUGUGUGUCUUUGUGUAUCUAUGGGUCUGUGUGUGUGUAUGUAUGGGUCUAUGUGUGUGCCUUUAUAAGUCUGUGUAUGUGUCUGUAUUGGUCUGUGUAUGUGUAUGUAUUGGUCUGUGUAUGUGUCUGCAUGGGUCUGUUUAUGUGUAUGGGUCUGUGUGUGCAGGGCCGCCAUCAGGGGGUGACAACCAUGAUGGUUGUCAUGGGCCCAGCGGUCCUGGGGGGCCCGGACUGCUUUGGCAGUCCUGGGCCCCACAUGCCCUCUCUGCACAUAUAUAUAGCGAUGAUCGCUAUAUAUGUGCAGCCGCGGGCCCCCGGCUCCCUAUACUUGCAGAGGGGGCCCAGCAAACUGCAAGAGCACAUUACAGCAUUUUUCCUCUCUUUAACUCCCGCGAAACCCGCGGCCGUCAGAGCGUUGCCACGGGUUACCAUGGCAACGCUCCGCGCGGCACGCAGACCACACUCGCAGUCUGCCGGCCCUCCUCUGCAAGUAUAGGGAGCCGGGGGGGGCCCACAAUGCCACCGGACCACCAGGCAUGAACCAGGUAAGAAGCAGGGAUGGGGGAGAAACAUUUAUUACAUUUACAUUAUUACAUUACAUGCAUACACUAGUAAACACACACACACUCUGCAUUCAUUACACUAACACACACACUGCAUUCACUACACUAACACACACUCUGCAUUCAUUACACUAACAAACACUCUCCAUUCACUACACUAACACACACUCUGCAUUAAUUACACUAACACACACUCUGCAUUUACUACACUAACACACAGUCUGCAUUCACUACACUGACACACAUUCUGCAUUCACUACACUGACACACACUCUGCAUUCACUACACUAACACACACUCUGCAUUCAUUACACUAACACACAAUCUGCAUUCACUACACUGACACACACUGUGCAUUCACUACACUAACACAAACUUUGCCGGGGGCAUGGGGGGCCCAGACCUUGUGUUUUGUCAGGGGACCCAAAAUUUCUGGUGGCAGCCCUGUGUGUGUGUGUGUGUAUAUGGGUCAGCGUGUGUGUUUAUGAGUCAGUGUGUAUGUAUGGGUAUGUUUGUGUGUAUGGGUCUCUGUGUGUGUGUCUUUAUGAGUCAGUGUGUGUCUGUGUGCAUGGUCAGUGUGUGUGUGUGUGGAGGGGGAUCAGUGUGAGUGUGUGUAUGUGUGUGGUCAGUGUGUGUGUCUGUAUGGGUCAGAGUGUGUGUAUAUUGGUCAGUUUAGGUAAGUCUGCAUCUGCUGUGUGUGUGCAUGUGUGGGUCUGUGUGUCUACGUGUAUGUAUGGGUCUGUGUGUGUGUGUGUAUGUGUGUAUGUCUUUCUAAGUCAGUCUGUGUGUGUGUGUGUGUAUGUAUCUGUCUGGGUAUGUAUCGGUCUAUAUAUGUAUCGGUCAGCAUGUGUCUGCAUGGGUCAGCAUGUGUCAGCAUGGGUCAAUGUGUGUGUGUAUGUAUGGAUCUGCUUGUGUGUAUGGUUCUCUGUGUGUGUGUAUGGGCCAGCGUGUGUCUGCAUGGGUUAGCGUGUGUGUUUAUGAAUCAGUGUGUAUGUAUGUGUCUGUUUUUGUGUAUUGGUCUCUGUGUGUAUGGGUCAGUGUGUGUGUCUUUAUGGGUCAGUGUGUGUCUGUGUGUGGGGGUCAUUGUGUAUCUCUGCAUGGGUCAGUGUGAGUGUGUGUAUGUGUGUGGUCAGUGUGUGUGUCUGUAUGGGUCAGUGUGUGUGUGUAUUGGUCAGUUUAGGUAAGUCUGCAUGAGUGGGUGGAACGAAUGGGGCGGAAAAAAAUGUUUUGCCUAGGGUGGCAAAAAUCUUUGCACCGGCCCUUGUCAAGCCCCCAGCUGAAAGGCAUUGUCGAUGGAGGAUCCUGAAAUCUCGUGACAUCACUAGCCAUCAGUGUUAUACUCUGGCACAUGCGCGAGAUUACAGCACUGAUGUCGGCUCCUGACAGAUGAAGCGUCUGAACUCAAAAAGGCCCCUGACAAAGAAAAGGAUGUUGACCAUUCCUUGCGUACAUCACACACUGAGUGACAGUCACCAAAUGCAUGACAGGCGCACAGUCGGAUUUGCCGGCAUAUGCGCUAACCUUACCCAAACCCCCAUUAAAACACGGACACAGGUUAUACUGUUGGAAAUAAUUUGUCCACAGCUUUAUUAAAUUAUUAAUAAAAUAAUUAAGGAAUAACAAAUGGGGUCAUUGCCAACAAAUCUUAAUAAUGUUAACCUCCCCCAUAUACAUAACAUACCCCUAGCAAUGACCCCACAAUAAUAACAAUAGAUAACAAUAUAAAUAACAUGUUAACACAGAAACUGGCCGUCCAAUUUGACCACAUUUCCACCAGGUUAAAUUGUAGGGGUGUACCGAGACACCGCUACCCACCAUAUCCAUUGUAGGGGUGUACCAAGACACCGCUACCCACCAUAUCCAUUGUAGGGGUGUACCAAGACACCGCUACCCACCAUAUCCAUUGUAGGGGUGUACCAAGACACCGCUACCCACCAGUUCCAGUGUAGGGUGUACCAAGACACCACCACACCCCCAGGUUCGGAGCCACCGACGGGCUCGAACCUACCAACCACGUGCAACACUGCCCAAUCCACACUAAACCUCAGGAUGCCCACUUUCUCCUCCAUCUACCCUCCGAUUUAACCAGGCCAUUCCCCGCCGCUGUGAAAAAACGGGAAAUCAACUAACCUAACCAAAUACAGGGAGGGUGGGAGGGACAACUGACAGGUAAGCUUAGGUUCAGUUAAAAUGGCCACUUCAUAUAAUGGCUGGUAUAAAUACUCCCCUUAUGGCUCCGUCCUACCCAGCAUGCUAGCUGUCACUAAAUUCCUGUGGCUGCUAUGCCUACCUCCUGGCUCUGUCAAGGCCUAUUCCUCUUAGCUGCGCUGAUCCAUGGGCUACAGUCUUGGCAAAAUAUGCAGAGACACCAGAAAGUGACAGAACCGCUUUAAGUAGGAGGAGCAGGGGUGUCAAGUUGGGGCUUAGGCCACUCAGCUUCCAUUCUGCAUGACCGCUCUAGGCGAAGAACAUAAACUGACCUAGAUUUCUGGGAGUUGUAGUGCAGCUCUGAGCUCUCAACACUAGAAAGCUAACAAAUGAACUACUACUCCCAGAAGCCCUUGAUUUGCCUAUUUAAAACUUGUUAUGGCAUGAGAUCAGCAGUGCUAUGGAAAGUUAAAUGAGUUCCCAAUUCGGUGACAGACUAUUACAGAACAAGCAAAGACCGCUGUUUCACACACACACACACACAAAAAAAAACAAAGGCUUGGAAUUCAGAUAUGAGCAUUUUUAUCAUUUUUAUUCAUCGUCAUUCCAUAUAUUUAGAUCCAGCACUGCAAAACACAUCUAAGAAGAGGUUCUUGUAGAGAAGCGCAACGUUUAUGAAAGUAUGAUUUGAAAUUUUACCACAUGACAGGAGGCUUCAUAUUUGCAUAUCUUUCUUUACUUAAAACUCCAGCAGCAUAGAAAUAUAACAACCAAUCAGAAAAAAGUAAUGAUGCCCAUAAAAGGCCCUGUCUAUGACAUCACUUCCUCUUUCUUUGCUGCUCCAGCCAACAUCAGGUCAGAGUAUUUUGCCUCCUGGCAGUUUACUGUAUUCUGUUUGUUUUUAUGCCUUUUCAUGUGCCUGCAGAUUGCUUUAUAUAGAUUGGUGUUUUUCCUUUUAGAGCUAUUAUUAUUUAUUGUUUGUGUUUAUUAGAAUUAAUAUUUGUUUCCACCGACCUCCUCUUACCCCUGUCCCCCCUCCGUUUCUAUCUAUACCCCCCCUUUCCUUUGUGGCCGGGUGACCGCGAGCGCGCCGACCUUCUCUGAGUCGCGCGCGCCUCGCGGGCCGCCCCCCUCCCCUUCUAUCGCUCGGGGUCUGGUUUCGGGGACGGGAGAAGGGAGGUUGGGGUCCAAGUUUGUUGGGUGCUGCUGGUCCGCGCGGCACCUCCACACGCGGGCGGCGGCCAUCUUGGAUCUCGCGGCUCGCGAGAUACCAGACGGCCGCCUGUCCCGCUCGCUCGGCGGUUCGGAAACUCACCCAACCGCCGAGCUACACAUGUGUAUGCCCUCUCCAUACAUUGGAGGAGGGCAUGCUGACUGGUUUUUGUUUUUCUCACGGUAUAUAGUGUGUCACCAUACAAUGACUGCAUCCUGUUCCCUCCAAAUCUAAGCAUGCAUUAAAGGAGACACUACAGUUUUUCUCCAAGCACAGGACCUGAGGUCUCCAUGCCCUAUCAGUGUCUCACUAAUCCACUACACCCUAUAUAGGGUCACCCUAGCUUGUCAUAUCUCGCUUAGGGUUUUUUCUAUUUUGCAUUACUCACAAAAAAAAAAAAAAAACCUGCUGCACAAGAUUUUAUUACCUCACCGUCCCUACUCUGGGACAGGCUGUCUAUACACCCUACGCUGGGUUUACCAUAUUACUGUACCUUACCGUACAAAAAUUAUGUGGGUGUCCUCUGGGCGAUUUUUCAUGGCACACCACCUGGGGUGACCCCCCAGAUAUGCAUGCUCGGUCACUCACUGACCUUUACCAUUGAUGUGGGAGUCCUCCGGUAUACCACGGCACACCACCCGGGGUGAACCCCGAUUACAUGCACGAAGGCCUAUGCCUCAGUCUAUUCUCGAUACCGCUAGUCCGUGCACCCAGCUUUGAUACAAUUGUGGCGGAUCAAACCGCAUGUGUUAAUACAUCUUCACAUCCCCCCACUGACUCUUCCUUUCGCCCAACAGGACGAGGGAAGACUGGUCGAGUCAUGGAGGACACUCAGAGCCAAGAUUUCCAAGCCAUGAUUAAUGCCGCAGUGGCGGCCUCGGUGGAGAAGGCCCUACUGAGGGCGUUACCCCAAAGCCAGGGCGACACUAGCCCCCCAGGACAAGUGGAGGCCUCGGGAUCCGAACUAUCCAAGGCUAAGAGACAUAGGAAGGUUUCCCCCCCGCCUUCAAAGACCAAAGGCAAGUUACCCGCUAAACGGAGUAAGAGCACGGAACGGCAACUGCACACACCCCGAGUACUACUCUCCUCGGACGAGGAGGAUGUGCACGUACCACACGCCUUGGACGUAGUGGACGAAUGGCGUGGGGACAGCUCUCCGUCAGAGGAGGAAGAGUGGCAAGACCUACCACCCACCUCCUCGAGAUACGUCAAGGAGACCUUUCACGGUGAUGACGACCAAGAAGAUGACAACUCCUUCGACAACAAAGCCGGAAAAGCCGGAGACGGGAAGUUCACGGACGAACAAGGGAACCCAUUGUUCGACCCACGUACCAUCCGGCACCCACGCUCUUCCGAAUGGACACUACCAGACCACUUGACGGACUUCAUACACUAUUGGCUACGCAAGCCUCUGGAGAAAGAGGUACGUGCACGCCUCAGGGCCGAAUGCCCCAGACCACUGAUACCGGAUAAGGUGGCACUUACACCCGAAUUCGAUAAUACGGUAGUGGUCUUUAUGUCCCGUUCGGGACGAGACCCGCGCAAAGGCGUGGAGAAAGGUAUGAAGGCAGCACAGGACAAGGUGCUGGACCUACUCGGCCCCAUCGCUAAGAUACUAUUUUUUGCAGAUCUGGCACUCAGCCAGGGCUCCCAGCUAGACCCGAACAUCAUACGGGAAUGGGCCCAACGAUCAGUGUGCCUCCUAGGCAACGCCAACGCCGUUCUGUGCACCGAGAGGCGUAGAUCGGCGUUGAUCCGUAUAGACAGUAAGCUCCUGGAUCUAGGCGCCAAAGAAUUCGGACCGAAAGCACAAGGGCUCCUGUUUGGCGAUGCUUUUAUCUCGGAGCUGAAGAAUCACGUGAAUCUCUUCACCACCUUGAAUAAGGCACAGACCUCUCUAAAGCAGGUUUUCCACAAUCCACCAGGAAGAGGUGUUUUUGGGAGGGCUGGUCAGCAGAGGAGCCAAGCCACCAGCCGUUUUUGGGCAUCAGGUUCCAGAUCCUUUUCACAAGCCCCAAGCUUCUUCCCUUCGGCUACGCAAAGACCAUCUUCAUACCGAGGGUCAGGGAGGUCGAGAGGCUUCAGGGGCCGAGGACGCGGCCGUUUCACUAAUGGUGAGUCCACCUAUAUACCACAAUGUUUCCAAUUUUCUAGCAGGCAACCUUUCAGAACUGGAAGCUUAUCACCAAGGACGCCUGGGUACUCCAGACGGUGAGAGGCUUCACCAUAGAAUUUUCAGCACAACCUAUACAGACCAUUCCCCCUUCGCCAAUACACAUGUCAGCGGAUCAAGGACGCCUGGUAGACGAAGAGAUCCAGAUGCUCUUCAGGAAAGGCGCGAUACAAUACGCGACAGGAGGGGACAGCUUCGUAAGCAAUAUCUUCCUGGUAAAGAAGAAAACGGGCGAAUACAGGCCUGUCAUCAACCUCCGACAAUUGAAUUCCUACGUCACAUACAGACACUUCAAAAUGGAAGGAAUCCACCUCCUACAAGACCUUCUCAUCAAAAACGAUUGGUUUACACGCCUGGAUCUCAAAGACGCGUACCUGUCGGUUCCCAUGGACGUACACAGCCGCCGUUUUCUCCGAUUCCGCUGGCAAGGACGUCUGUGCCAGUUCACGUGUCUGCCAUUCGGCCUCAGUUCGGCGCCGUGGUGCUUCACGAAGCUGCUGAGGCCGGUGAUGGCUCACAUACGAUCCUCGGGCAUUCGAUGUCUCGUAUACUUGGACGAUUUGCUAAUCUUCUGCGAAUCCGCUGCCAGGCUGCGAUGGCAGACGAAAUUUGUCGUUCACUUGCUGGAAUCUUUAGGUUUCAUAGUGAACAGACAAAAAUCGUCCCUCUCUCCCUCCCAAUCAGUCCAAUUUCUCGGGUUCGAUAUCGACUCGAAGGAAUGCGUGCUUCGGCUACCCCAAACGAAGAUAGCCUCAAUACGGAAGGAAAUCAGACGGGUUCUGAGACUGGAGACCAUAACACUCAGGAUGCUCGCCCGGAUCGUGGGACUUCUCUCCUCCUCCAUACAGGCGAUAUUCCCGGGACCAUUACACUACAGGGUCAUGCAACGGCUGAAGGCGGAAUACCUGCGCACCGGACACUCAUACGACAGCCGGAUUCCACUGUCAACGGAGGUGAGAACGGAACUCCGAUGGUGGUUACUGCACAUUCAAGCUUGGAAUGGCAAGGCGAUUUUUGGCUCUUCCCCAGACUUCAUUGUGGAGUCGGACGCCAGCCUGUGGGGAUGGGGCGCACACUGCACGGACGCCUCCACGGGGGGCCCGUGGCAAGGGGAAGAGACCGAACUCCAUAUCAACUGUCUGGAAUUGAUCGCGGGGUCCUUCGCCAUCCGCAGCUUGGCCAAGGACAAAUCCAACUGUUGCAUAUUACUCCGCAUGGACAACGUGUCGGCAGUACAGUAAAUCAACCGCCUCGGCGGGGCCAGGUCUCGAGACCUAACAGAAGCCACGAAAGACAUCUACAAGUUUUGCCUCUCACGGAACAUCACGCUGCAGGCGGAAUACCUACCAGGAACCUCCAACCUGACAGCGGACUGGUUUUCGCGUCAUUGGCGAGACAACAGCGAUUGGACACUCAACAAAGAGAUCUUCCUAGAGCUGAGAUGGGGGAAGGGUCCACUCACAAUAGAUUUGUUCGCCUCCAGGACCAACCACCAACUACCGAGGUACUACAGUUGGCUCCCGGACCCGGAAAGCGAAGCUACGGACGCAUUCCUACAGAACUGGCCCACGCAGGGGGCGUAUGCCUUCCCUUCGUUCGCCAUGAUCCCGCGAGUACUACGAUACGCACGCAACCACAAGAUAUCGCUUUUACUCCUAACACCCCUCUGGCGGAGUCAACCAUGGUUCCCAGAGCUCCUGGAGAUGUCUUACGAGGACCCACUUCUGCUCCCCACCUUCCCUCUCCUUCUGACGGGACCUCGAGGGGAGGCUCACUCCCUCGUCUUGGAAGGACAGCUGGAACUAGUGGCUUGGACGAUUUCAGGGGCUCCUGGUCAGUCCACGGCCUAUCGCAAUCAUCUAAAGACCUCCUUUGGGACUCAUGGGCUCCCGGCACCAGGAAAUGCUAUAUUUCCGCAUGGUCGGCCUGGAGCGACUGGUGUGUGGAAAGGGAUUCCGAUCCCUUUACUGCACCUAUCCCGUUGAUCCUCAACUACCUGUCACACCUGUUCAUGUUGGGACGAUCAUAUAGGUCCCUCAAUGUGAUCAGAUCCGCCAUCUCGGCGGCGCACCUCCCGGUACAGGGCAGACCGAUAGGCCAAGACCCACUGGUCUGCCGGCUACUGCGGGGUACCAAAUUAACGAGACCCCCGGCACCCAAAUACUCACACCUUUGGCAGGUAGAGGUGGUGCUGAAAUUCCUUCGGGAAUGGCCGGACAAUCCCUACCUAUCAUUGAAACAGCUCUCAUCGAAGCUGGCCCUCCUACUAUGCCUCGUCUCUUUCAGACGGGUGGCAGAUGUCCGGGCGUUCGACGUGGAUGGUUUCUCAUUCACUCCAGAAGGGGUUACCUUCCACAUAUCGAGACGCACGAAAUCGGACUCAGCGUCAGUGUCAUACCCAUACUUUGGUACAGACCCCAAAUUAUGUGUAGUCAGGACACUAUUGAGGUAUACCGAAAUCACGAACUCCCUGCUUCGGAGCGCACUCAGUCAGAGGGGCGGCGGCCUCUCAAGCCUUAUCGGCCGGCGCCUCCCUGGCCGACAUUAUGCGCUGCGCGGAUUGGUCGCGAGAGAGUACCUUUAGGACUUUUUACUUUCGACAGACUUCUCAUGCUUCCUUCACAUUAGUCAACUCGAAGCUUUAAAAAUGCAAAUAUGAAGCCUCCUGUCAUGUGGUAAAAUUGAAGAUUAUACUAGCUUUAGUGUACUAAUAAUCUUAAUUUUAGUAAUGACAGGAGGCGAAUAUUUCCCACCCUUUAGGAUCCCUCCCUUAGGUUACUCGUUUGGAUGUGUGUAUGUGUUAGUGUUCAGGAAGACAUGUUUUACCUGGUACACGGUCAGACUGGCACAGUUACUUACUAGAAUGGGUUAGUUGCAGGAUGGUAAUUGUACUAGUACUAGAUUGUUUACCUGUUUCCUUUUAGUGUCAGUAAGUUCUAGUUUGUAGAUGGAUAGCUUUUGUUUAUAACCGUGGGAAAUCAGCAUUCUUACGAUAUAUUGCAUGCGGACAAAUUAUCAUACCAGAGACCUUUCACCUUUUUUCUUCUUUUGCAGUAUGAAAAUCUCCACAAGACAAGGUGCCUCUCGUACUACGGCUACACCACGGGAUCACUCGAGUUGGAUGUGCU
Non-coding RNA from Pelobates cultripes (western spadefoot toad), 9428 nucleotides. Lineage: Eukaryota; Metazoa; Chordata; Amphibia; Anura; Pelobatidae. The record is from the annotation of a GenBank genome assembly.